GAUGAACGCUGGCGGCGUGCCUAAUACAUGCAAGUCGAGCGAACGGACGAGGAGCUUGCUUCUCUGACGUUAGCGGCGGACGGGUGAGUAACACGUGGAUAACCUACCUAUAAGACUGGGAUAACUUCGGGAAACCGGAGCUAAUACCGGAUAAUAUUUUGAACCGCAUGGUUCAAUAGUGAAAGACGGUUUUGCUGUCACUUAUAGAUGGAUCCGCGCUGCAUUAGCUAGUUGGUAAGGUAACGGCUUACCAAGGCGACGAUGCGUAGCCGACCUGAGAGGGUGAACCGGCAACACGGAACUGAGACACGGUCCAGACUCCUAAGGGAGGCAGCAGUUGGGAAUUUUCCGCAAUGGGGGAAAGCCUGACGGAGCCAAGCCGCGUGGGUGAAGAAGGUCUUCGGAUUGUAAAACCCUUUUAAUUGGGAAGAAAAAAAGGGGAAGGAAACAGUGCCGUUUUGACGGUACCUAAACAAAAAGCCCCGGCUAAAUUCGUG
RNAcentral lists this ribosomal RNA (497 nucleotides) under uncultured bacterium. RNAcentral describes it as "partial 16S ribosomal RNA". It matches the Rfam family "Bacterial small subunit ribosomal RNA", at positions 28 to 507 of the family's 1533-position model. The record is from RNAcentral.